Molecule: long non-coding RNA, 4233 nt
Organism: Sus scrofa (pig)
Lineage: Eukaryota; Metazoa; Chordata; Mammalia; Artiodactyla; Suidae
Product: large neutral amino acids transporter small subunit 1
Source: RefSeq, a predicted model, not a curated record
GACGCAGCGGCUUGGCGGCAGCGCCGUGGGAACCGGCUGUCUCCAGUGGGCGGCGCGCUCCCGGUGUCCGGCCCCAGCCCCAGCCCCGGCCCCGCCCUCGCCCUGCCUGGCUCGCGCGGCAGCAUGGCGGGCCCCGGCCUGAAGCGGCGCCCGCCGGCGGCUCCCGCGGCGGCCACAGAGGAGGAGCGCCAGGCGCGGGAGCGGAUGCUGGCCGCGCGGCCGGCGGAGGGUGAGGGCGUGACCCUGCAGCGCAACAUCACCCUGCUCAACGGCGUGGCUAUCAUCGUGGGCACCAUCAUCGGCUCGGGCAUCUUCGUGACGCCCACCGGCGUGCUCAAGGAGGCGGGCUCGCCCGGGCUGGCGCUGGUGGUGUGGGCCGUUUGCGGCGUCUUCUCCAUCGUGGGCGCGCUCUGCUACGCCGAGCUGGGCACCACCAUCACCAAGUCUGGCGGCGACUACGCCUACAUGCUCGAAGUGUACGGCUCGCUGCCCGCCUUUCUCAAGCUCUGGAUCGAGCUGCUCAUCAUCCGGCCCUCCUCGCAGUACAUCGUGGCGCUCGUCUUCGCCACCUACCUGCUCAAGCCGCUCUUCCCCACCUGCCCGGUGCCGGAGGAGGCCGCCAAGCUCGUGGCCUGCCUAUGCGUGCUGCUGCUCACGGCCGUGAACUGCUACAGCGUGAAGGCCGCCACCCGUGUGCAGGACGUCUUUGCUGCCGCCAAACUCCUGGCUCUGGCCUUGAUCAUCCUGCUGGGCUUCAUCCAGAUUGGGAAGGGUGACGUGUCCAAUCUGGAUCCCAAGUUCUCGUUUGAAGGCACCAAACUGGACGUGGGCAACAUUGUGCUCGCGCUGUAUAGUGGCCUCUUUGCCUACGGGGGAUGGAACUACUUGAACUUGGUCACAGAGGAGAUGAUCAACCCCUACAGAAACCUGCCCCUGGCCAUCAUCAUCUCCCUGCCCAUCGUCACCCUGGUGUACGUGCUCACGAACCUGGCCUACUUCACCACGCUGUCCACGGAGCAGAUGCUGACCUCGGAGGCCGUGGCCGUGGAUUUCGGGAACUACCACCUGGGAGUCAUGUCCUGGAUCAUCCCCGUCUUCGUGGGCCUGUCCUGCUUCGGCUCCGUCAACGGGUCCCUCUUCACGUCCUCCAGGCUGUUCUUCGUGGGGGCCAGGGAGGGCCACCUGCCGUCUGUCCUAUCCAUGAUCCACCCGCGGCUCCUGACGCCCGUGCCCUCCCUUGUAUUCACGUGCGUGAUGACCCUGCUGUACGCCUUCUCCAGAGACAUCUUCUCCGUCAUCAACUUCUUCAGCUUCUUCAACUGGCUCUGCGUGGCCCUGGCCAUCAUCGGAAUGCUGUGGCUGCGCUACCGCAAGCCCGAGCUGGAGCGGCCCAUCAAGGUGAACGUGGCCCUGCCCGUGUUCUUCAUCCUGGCCUGCCUCUUCCUGAUCGCCGUCUCCUUCUGGAAGACGCCCGUGGAGUGCGGCAUCGGCUUCACCAUCAUCCUCAGCGGCCUGCCCGUCUACUUCCUCGGCGUCUGGUGGAGCAACAAGCCCAAGUGGCUGCUCCAGGGCAUCUUUUCCACGACGGUCCUUUGCCAGAAGCUCAUGCACGUGGUCCCCCAGGAGACAUAAGCAGCAGGAGCCAAGGAGCCCCCGAGGAGAUGCACAGGCUCAUAAAUGACCCACCCCCGAAGGCCACUCGCCCGUCAUCCAGGCAGCUCAGCCACGCGUCCCCAUGUCCCUUGGCCGGGCCGGGCCGGCCACCGCGAAACCUGGUACGAAUUCACUCCCUGCAGCCGGACGUGGCAGGUACCUCUCGAGCGUGGAGGCGAGAGCGUUGGACAGAGAAGAGACCGCGGGCCUCCUGCCGUGUCGGGCCUUCUCCCUUCUCACCUCUGUUUAUUUGUAUUAUUAUUUUUUUAACUUAAAUCUUGGGUUCGGCCGACGCCACCAAGACGAUUAUUUUUUAAAUACAUUAUGGAGGGGGCAGUGUUUUCUCCCCUGGCGCCGCCCGCACACGACGUGCCUCAGAGGGACCGGUCCCCUCGCCAGAUUGGGGCAGGUCUCCGGGAAUGGGGUGGGGGUUCCUGCCCGGACGUGGCCGCACCCUCUGGACAGCAGCCCGACGUGUGCCCUUGGCUUUUCCUUGUUCGUUGUUAGAGACGUAGCGACACUCGUGAAACUAACCCCAGGGACUUUGGUCUCUUUGCCUUAAAGACCUGAACUGGUUCCUCCCCGCCCCCACCCCAGAGGGAGCGAACAGCUCAGCGAGAUGCCGCGGGCUUCGGGAGGAGAGGCCUCGGGCUGCUCCUACAUCCUGGCCCCGUUCUCCAGAAAGGACCUGCUCCUGGGUUCCAGGCCCGGCGUCUGCUGCGGCGGGGGCUGAGCCCAGGGCGGGCCAGCUGGCCCAUCUGGCGCUCCUGCCGAUGUGCAGAACGGGCCAGUUCGGGGACCAGGCCCUGUCACUCAGGAUACCUUUGGGCACCUGACUGUAUGUACCCAGCCCGGACAGAUCUGAUCUACUGGUUUUGGAGCCAAGCUGUAGCUCUUUCAAAGCUCCAUACUUGAAAUCUUCUAGAAGCAGACACUGCGAGCCCUCGUGGGCUUCCCGUCCGGGUCCCUCGAGACUGCCUCUCCUGGGCCUUGAGGCCUGGACGGCAGCCAUCUGGGCCUGUCCCCUCUCCUGUCACCUGUCCUGGGCUCGAUUCCCAUUGUCCGGCAGCCGGAGCCCAGCCUUCCCCGCUCCGCCUGCACCUGCUCCGGAGGCCACCUGACUGGGGUCCCUCCCACGGAGGCCGCGCCAGCAGGCUUUGUUUUUGUGGUUCCCAUGGCGUCUUCCCCUGGGGAGGCAGCUGAGGCCCAGAAGCUCAGCUGGCCUUCCCGGGCUGUCACUGCAUCCAGGGAGCCGGUGUGGGGAGCAGCGGCAUCCAAGGUCAGACUGUCUCCCUUCAAGCCCAUCUUAGGCGCUGGGGGCUCUGCCUUGGCCUCUGACCGCUGACCUUCCCACCAGGGAGGGUUGAGUCCAGGCAUCAGGCUUCAUUGCUCAGCUGCGGCCACAUGAGCAUCAAGCGGCCAGUCCAGCCACAGCCACCCCCUGGGCCCUGGCCCCACGAGGUGCUACCGGCCCCGAGAGACCUGACAGGCAGCUUGUGGGGCCCGGCUGGGCAGGGAGGCUAUAGAGGAGGCGGCCUCUGCUGGGCAGGAGACCCUGCCACCCUGAGGCUCCUGAUGCACCGACAUCCAUGGACGACUCUGCAUCAGCUGAGUCCUCCUGGGCCCCGAUCCCUGCCUCUCAGGGUCCAGCUCAAGUCUGAGGCCAGGACGUCACCAAGCAGCAGGAGGCCUGGUCUGCCUUGGGCCUUGGUUUUCUCAUCUGCAAAUGGGGGCGGUGGUUGGUGUGUCCCUGCCUCGUAGGAUUGCACAGAGAGGACACUGACCGUUGUGGCGACCACAGCCCCAGGCACAGGUGGCAGGAUGCUGCCCAGCUGGCACUGCCCUCGGCCUCUCUGCUGGGGCUCCAGCUAUGUCCGAGCACAUUCCUGCCUCUUCCCUCAGGGGUGGGGCAGUACUUGGGGUGCGUUGAGGUCCAAACCCCCGGUCCUGGGUGUGACCUGCCAGCACAGGGAGCAGGUAGGCUUCCCUGGGGCAUUGGACCGGUGCCCUCCUGCAGGGUGACUGCUCCCUGGGCCCCAUUUUCACACUGUAAGGUCAGAGGUUGUUCUGAAGCACGGCCCCCUGGCAUCUUGAAGGCAGGCUGGGGCCGGGUCUGCGGUUCAUGGGGCUGUGUCCCCCGCAGUUCAGGGACCCCCCGUGAAGGCAGGCCCGUCCCGCCCCCUGGCCCUGCUGUGUCUGCGCCCCGGGGCCACCUCCGCUCCAUGUGACCACACUACUGACCCAUGUCCCGAGCGUCCUGUUUGGGGGUCACUUUUCUCCUGAGCUGAAUCCUGGCAUAACAAGCGCGUGAGUGUCCAGCUGCUCUGCUUUAUCUCGUCCUCGCGUCUCGCUGGUGGAAAGGGUGCCGUCUGCACCGUGUUUGUUUAUCGUAGGGCGGCCGGUCCGGCCACACCGCCGCCCGCUGCUGCACCCCGUGGCAAUGUCUGUGACUUCGUGCCGCUUCCGCUUCUAUUAACGGCUAACCUGUUCAACUUGGCUGGUUUGGGGUGGGGUGUUCUGGUUUGUGUGUGGGGGGGGUGUUUGUUUUAAAGAACACUUGGAAUUAUAAGCACUGCUGGU